GAUGAACGCUGGCGGCGUGCCUAAUACAUGCAAGUCGAGCGAACGGACGAGAAGCUUGCUUCUCUGAUGUUAGCGGCGGACGGGUGAGUAACACGUGGAUAACCUACCUAUAAGACUGGGAUAACUUCGGGAAACCGGAGCUAAUACCGGAUAAUAUUUUGAACCGCAUGGUUCAAAAGUGAAAGACGGUCUUGCUGUCACUUAUAGAUGGAUCCGCGCUGCAUUAGCUAGUUGGUAAGGUAACGGCUUACCAAGGCAACGAUGCAUAGCCGACCUGAGAGGGUGAUCGGCCACACUGGAACUGAGACACGGUCCAGACUCCUACGGGAGGCAGCAGUAGGGAAUCUUCCGCAAUGGGCGAAAGCCUGACGGAGCAACGCCGCGUGAGUGAUGAAGGUCUUCGGAUCGUAAAACUCUGUUAUUAGGGAAGAACAUAUGUGUAAGUAACUGUGCACAUCUUGACGGUACCUAAUCAGAAAGCCACGGCUAACUACGUGCCAGCAGCCGCGGUAAUACGUAGGUGGCAAGCGUUAUCCGGAAUUAUUGGGCGUAAAGCGCGCGUAGGCGGUUUUUUAAGUCUGAUGUGAAAGCCCACGGCUCAACCGUGGAGGGUCAUUGGAAACUGGAAAACUUGAGUGCAGAAGAGGGAAGUGGAAUUCCAUGUGUAGCGGUGAAAUGCGCAGAGAUAUGGAGGAACACCAGUGGCGAAGGCGACUUUCUGGUCUGUAACUGACGCUGAUGUGCGAAAGCGUGGGGAUCAAACAGGAUUAGAUACCCUGGUAGUCCACGCCGUAAACGAUGAGUGCUAAGUGUUAGGGGGUUUCCGCCCCUUAGUGCUGCAGCUAACGCAUUAAGCACUCCGCCUGGGGAGUACGACCGCAAGGUUGAAACUCAAAGGAAUUGACGGGGACCCGCACAAGCGGUGGAGCAUGUGGUUUAAUUCGAAGCAACGCGAAGAACCUUACCAAAUCUUGACAUCCUUUGACAACUCUAGAGAUAGAGCCUUCCCCUUCGGGGGACAAAGUGACAGGUGGUGCAUGGUUGUCGUCAGCUCGUGUCGUGAGAUGUUGGGUUAAGUCCCGCAACGAGCGCAACCCUUAAGCUUAGUUGCCAUCAUUAAGUUGGGCACUCUAAGUUGACUGCCGGUGACAAACCGGAGGAAGGUGGGGAUGACGUCAAAUCAUCAUGCCCCUUAUGAUUUGGGCUACACACGUGCUACAAUGGACAAUACAAAGGGCAGCGAAACCGCGAGGUCAAGCAAAUCCCAUAAAGUUGUUCUCAGUUCGGAUUGUAGUCUGCAACUCGACUACAUGAAGCUGGAAUCGCUAGUAAUCGUAGAUCAGCAUGCUACGGUGAAUACGUUCCCGGGUCU
RNAcentral lists this ribosomal RNA (1372 nucleotides) under uncultured bacterium. Its description in RNAcentral is "bacterial SSU rRNA". It matches the Rfam family "Bacterial small subunit ribosomal RNA", at positions 28 to 1381 of the family's 1533-position model. The record is from RNAcentral.